This 359-nucleotide ribosomal RNA is filed under the name uncultured bacterium. RNAcentral describes it as "bacterial SSU rRNA". It matches the Rfam family "Bacterial small subunit ribosomal RNA", at positions 29 to 414 of the family's 1533-position model. The record is from RNAcentral.
AACGAACGCUGGCGGCAUGCCUAACACAUGCAAGUCGAACGAGACCUUCGGGUCUAGUGGCGCACGGGUGCGUAACGCGUGGGAAUCUGCCCUUGGGUUCGGAAUAACAGUUAGAAAUGACUGCUAAUACCGGAUAAUGUCUUCGGACCAAAGAUUUAUCGCCCAGGGAUGAGCCCGCGUAGGAUUAGCUAGUUGGUGAGGUAAAGGCUCACCAAGGCGACGAUCAGUAGCUGGUUUGAGAGAACGACCAGCCACACUGGAACUGAGACACGGUCCAGACUCCUACGGGAGGCAGCAGUGGGAAUUUUGGACAAUGGGGGGCGAACCCUGAUCCAGCAAUGCCGCGUGAGUGAAGAAGG